CCGUGCUCGGCGGAGCUCCCGAGCCUGCGUCUUGCUGCCCCGUCGCAUGUUGCUUACUCGGAACCGUUUGGUCCCGGUGCAGCGGUGGCGGGCAUGUGAUCGCGGGCUCGGUUGUGGCCGUGUCGGCAUAUGAGUGGUUUUGGAUCCGAAUGUCCUGACGGGCUCCCUGCCUAUGUGCAGCCAACCGUCGGCGACGCGGUCCGUUCAUUUUCGUCGCCCGAGGAUCCUUUGAGUCUCGGUGCGUGGCUAAGUUGCCUGUGCGUAAAACCCCAUUUUAUGGGAACGACAUCUCGACCAUGCGCUCGACUCGCCCCAUCCUGCCUACAGGCACAGAGGGGCGGCACUACAUGCGAUCCUCAAGUUUUCCCCGGGAUGCGGGUGGUCAUGUUCGGCCGUCCGCACUCGGUGGGUGCUCGAGGCAUCGCAAGGACUUGCGGAAGCAGUGUAUGCGGAGAUCCCGUGGGCCGUGGCCUUCGGCCUCCUCUCGGUUGCGAUUCGGCUAUAAAAAAAAGUCGAUCCCGUUCGAAUGACUCUCGAGCCGCCGUAACCUCUCACCUCCCCUCCUGGGGAAGGCGCGGGGCACGACGACCGAUGUCAUCGAGGGCGUGC
RNAcentral lists this unclassified non-coding RNA (609 nucleotides) under Dianella adenanthera. RNAcentral's name for it is "partial external transcribed spacer". Lineage: Eukaryota; Viridiplantae; Streptophyta; Magnoliopsida; Asparagales; Asphodelaceae. The record is from RNAcentral.